RNAcentral lists this ribosomal RNA (470 nucleotides) under uncultured bacterium. RNAcentral's name for it is "bacterial SSU rRNA". It matches the Rfam family "Bacterial small subunit ribosomal RNA", at positions 27 to 517 of the family's 1533-position model. The record is from RNAcentral.
GGACGAACGCUGGCGGCGUGCUUAACACAUGCAAGUCGAGCGGUAAGGCCCUUUCGGGGGUACACGAGCGGCGAACGGGUGAGUAACACGUGGGUGACCUGCCCUCAGCUCUGGGAUAAGCCUGGGAAACCGGGUCUAAUACUGGAUAUGACUCCAUGACGCAUGUUGUGGGGUGGAAAGCCUUGUGCGGCUGAGGAUGGGCCCGCGGCCUAUCAGCUUGUUGGUGAGGUAAGGCUCACCAAGGCGACGACGGCUCGCUGGUCUGAGAGGACGACCAGCCACACUGGGACUGAGACACGGCCCAGACUCCUACGGGAGGCAGCAGUGGGGAAUCUUGCGCAAUGGGCGAAAGCCUGACGCAGCAACGCCGCGUGGGGGAUGACGGUCUUCGGAUUGUAAACCCCUUUCAGCAGGGACGAAUCUGACGGUACCUGCAGAAGAAGCCCCGGCCAACUACGUGCCAGCCGCCG